GGACCGGAAGAGUCCUUGAACCAAAAUAGGUCGGCGGGCACUUCCGGGACCGGAGCCCAGGGUUCCGGGAGGGUGUAGGCAGGAGAGGGAAAGGCAGCAGCGGCGGCAGCUGGAGGAUGAAGAAGGAGCAUGUGCUGCACUGCCAGUUCUCCGCGUGGUACCCGUUCUUCCGAGGCGUUACCAUCAAGAGUGUCAUUCUUCCACUUCCUCAGAAUGUGAAGGAUUAUUUACUCGAUGAUGGAACUCUGGUGGUUUCAGGAAGGGAUGAUCCACCAACACAUUCUCAGCCAGACAGUGAUGAUGAAGCAGAAGAAAUACAGUGGUCUGAUGAUGAGAACACAGCCACGCUUACGGCACCGGAAUUUCCUGAGUUUGCCACUAAAGUCCAGGAAGCUAUCAAUUCCCUCGGGGGCAGUGUCUUUCCGAAGCUUAAUUGGAGUGCCCCAAGGGAUGCGUAUUGGAUAGCAAUGAAUAGUUCUCUGAAAUGUAAAACCCUCAGCGACAUCUUUCUACUUUUCAAGAGUUCUGAUUUCAUCACUCGUGACUUCACUCAGCCGUUUAUUCAUUGUACUGAUGAUUCUCCAGAUCCAUGUAUAGAAUAUGAGCUCGUUCUCCGAAAAUGGUGUGAAUUGAUUCCUGGGGCUGAGUUUCGAUGUUUUGUCAAGGAAAACAAGCUUAUUGGUAUUUCUCAAAGAGACUACACACAAUACUAUGAUCAUAUUUCUAAACAAAAGGAAGAAAUUUGCAGAUGCAUACAAGACUUUUUCAAGAAACACAUACAGUACAAAUUCUUAGAUGAAGACUUUGUGUUCGAUAUAUACAGAGACAGUAGGGAUUCCCCAGCUUUCCGUUGCACAAACAGUGAAGUGACAGUCCAGCCCAGCCCCUAUUUGAGUUACCGGCUACCCAAGGACUUUGUAGACCUCUCUACUGGGGAGGACGCUCACAAGCUAAUAGAC
This 959-nucleotide small RNA is filed under the name Pan troglodytes (chimpanzee). RNAcentral's name for it is "processed transcript". The record is from RNAcentral. Lineage: Eukaryota; Metazoa; Chordata; Mammalia; Primates; Hominidae.